Camelus dromedarius (Arabian camel) is the source of this 1148-nucleotide long non-coding RNA. RefSeq lists it as uncharacterized. The record is from RefSeq and is a predicted model, not a curated record. The transcript has 7 exons. NCBI's taxonomy places the organism in Eukaryota, Metazoa, Chordata, Mammalia, Artiodactyla, Camelidae.
CCCUGCCCCGCGACCCCGGGGCUGCCCUCCUCCCCCUUUCCCGCUCCCUGGGGACCAGCUCAGUGGUGUGGGCGCUGCUCCCCGGGCUGAGAGCCUCCGGCUGUGAACCCCAGCUUCUCCUGGUGGAGUCGGGAAAAGGGAGCGUCAGUGCUGAGCGAGCUUCCAUCUCCUCCCUCAGUGUUUCUUCCCCAGUACAUUUUGGUUACUGAAACCCUCGAAUUCCCAUAUGAAUUGUAGCAGCAGCUAGUCAGUUUCUGCAGAGGAGCCCGCAGGGAUUGUGAUCGAGACCACGUUGAAUAUACGGAUCGUUCUGGGGAGCACUGCCAUUCCAAGAGCGCUGUCUUCUGAUCAAGGAAUGUGCGUGGUUUGUCUGUCCAGGUGACACUGCUCUGGUUGCUGAAUGUGCCCUUUCCUCAGACUUCGUUUUGGAGUUAAGUCACCAUCAGUGGAGCCCUCUCGUUAAAAGAUGAAGAAAACAUUUGCUCCUUCUCCCUGGCUGGGGACUUGGAUGAGAUGAGAGUUCUACAUAUAGUUGGUUACAUUCUGUACCUGGAAAUUUCUCCAAAACUUCUUCCCACGUGCCCUCACCUCCAGUAGCAUCCAUCCAGACAGCAGAACUGACACUGGCCAUGCUCAGAAAUGCCUCAGCCCUGAAGACACAAGUGACAAAUAGAAGGGGGCCACGCCCUGUUACAGCAGGUGCUCUCACUUUGUGGAUCCUUAUGUAACUGAGCGGUGUUAAUCAGGAUUGCCUGUUCUACAUUGUGUGGCGCUGCUCCAGUGUCUCCUAUUUACUUGUUUCUUGUAAGAAUGCCGGUGACUGAGUUAGAAGCAUGCUCCCAAGCUGUCCGUGUCCUUGUCAUUCAGAAGCGGACCCUGGAAGCUUCCGAAUUUCUCCAGAAUGCGUUCUACAUUCACCUUCGACAGAUCCCUCCCUUUUCUCUGCUCUUCCUGUCCAUCUGUCUCCCUCCACUUUCCCCCUCCUCUCCUCCCCCUCCCAUCUUCUCCCUCCCUCGCUGUCCCACCUUCUCUCGCAGAACCCAGAGUGGAUCGCUGGCCAUCCUGCGCAUGGGCAGUCGGUGCCAGCUGGACCACGGGUUGGAAGCUCCAGUUCCGAGCCGGGGAUCGGCCCCAAAGGCUUCUUAGCU